AUCACCUACAUAGAUGCCAUACAGAGGUCCGACUCCGAUUAGUGGCUUGGAGCCAUAAAGUCUGAAAUAAAGUCCAUGAAGAUCAAUAGUGUAUGGAUACUAGUUGAUUAGCUUGAAAGGAUAAAGCCCAUAGGAUGUAAGUAGAUCUUCAAUAGAAUCAGAGGACACGACGAGAAUGUGGAGACCCACAAUGCCCAUCUAGUUGCCUAAGGAUAUUAUCAAUAUUAUGGUAUUGACCAUAGCG
This 244-nucleotide long non-coding RNA is filed under the name Elaeis guineensis (African oil palm). RNAcentral's name for it is "long non-coding RNA (EGUI_LNC026611)". Lineage: Eukaryota; Viridiplantae; Streptophyta; Magnoliopsida; Arecales; Arecaceae. The record is from RNAcentral.